AUUCCGUGAUGAGGGCACUUCCGUAAUAAUUCUUUGUACCUUUCCUAUGUCUUAUACAAUGACUCAUCGUCCAUUUUUUGGAAAGCAGUGAUCUCGUUCCUGAACUU
RNAcentral lists this small nucleolar RNA (107 nucleotides) under Gossypium hirsutum (cotton). Its description in RNAcentral is "Plant small nucleolar RNA R71". It matches the Rfam family "Plant small nucleolar RNA R71". Rfam says of the family: R71 is a member of the C/D box family of snoRNAs containing the C (UGAUGA) and D (CUGA) box motifs. Multiple nearly identical copies of this snoRNA have been identified in Arabidopsis, and it is thought to function as a 2'-O-ribose methylation guide for 18S ribosomal RNA. The record is from Rfam by way of RNAcentral. Lineage: Eukaryota; Viridiplantae; Streptophyta; Magnoliopsida; Malvales; Malvaceae.